RNAcentral lists this transfer RNA (68 nucleotides) under Marmota monax (woodchuck). RNAcentral describes it as "tRNA.Ala". The stretch from base 5 to 65 matches the Rfam family "tRNA", at positions 6 to 65 of the family's 71-position model. From Rfam's summary of the family: Transfer RNA (tRNA) molecules are approximately 80 nucleotides in length. Their secondary structure includes four short double-helical elements and three loops (D, anti-codon, and T loops). Lineage: Eukaryota; Metazoa; Chordata; Mammalia; Rodentia; Sciuridae. The record is from RNAcentral.
GGAUUGUGGCUCAGCGGUAGAGUGCUCGCCUAGCAUGUGAGAGGCCCUGGGUUCGAUUCUCAGCACCA